RNAcentral lists this ribosomal RNA (522 nucleotides) under uncultured bacterium. Its description in RNAcentral is "bacterial SSU rRNA". It matches the Rfam family "Bacterial small subunit ribosomal RNA", at positions 777 to 1304 of the family's 1533-position model. The record is from RNAcentral.
AAUAGAUACCCUGGUAGUCCACGCCGUAAACGAUGGAUACUAGCUGUUUGAGCGCAAGUUUGAGUGGCUAAGCGAAAGUGAUAAGUAUCCCACCUGGGGAGUACGGGCGCAAGCCUGAAACUCAAAGGAAUUGACGGGGGCCCGCACAAGCGGUGGAGCAUGUGGUUUAAUUCGAUGAUACGCGAGGAACCUUACCAGGGCUUAAAUGUAGAUUGACGUAUUUGGAAACAGAUAUUUCUUCGGACAAUUUACAAGGUGCUGCAUGGUUGUCGUCAGCUCGUGCCGUGAGGUGUCAGGUUAAGUCCUAUAACGAGCGCAACCCCUGUUGUUAGUUGCCAGCGAGUAAUGUCGGGAACUCUAGCAAGACUGCCAGUGUAAACUGUGAGGAAGGUGGGGAUGACGUCAAAUCAUCACGGCCCUUACGUCCUGGGCCACACACGUGCUACAAUGGCCGGUACAGAGAGCAGCCACUUAGCGAUAAGGAGCGAAUCUAUAAAAGCCGGUCACAGUUCGGAUCGGGGU